RNAcentral lists this ribosomal RNA (253 nucleotides) under uncultured bacterium. Its description in RNAcentral is "partial 16S ribosomal RNA". It matches the Rfam family "Bacterial small subunit ribosomal RNA", at positions 524 to 776 of the family's 1533-position model. The record is from RNAcentral.
UACGAAGGGGGCUAGCGUUGUUCGGAUUCAUUGGGCGUAAAGGGUGCGUAGGUGGCAUGGUAAGUCGGAUGUGAAAUCCCGGGGCUCAACCCCGGAACUGCAUUCGAUACUGCUGCGCUAGAGUACUGGAGAGGAGAUUGGAAUUUACGGUGUAGCAGUGAAAUGCGUAGAUAUCGUAAGGAAGACCAGUGGCGAAGGCGGAUCUCUGGACAGUUACUGACACUGAGGCACGAAGGCCAGGGGAGCAAACGGG